RNAcentral lists this unclassified non-coding RNA (1009 nucleotides) under Hevea brasiliensis (rubber tree). The record is from RNAcentral. Lineage: Eukaryota; Viridiplantae; Streptophyta; Magnoliopsida; Malpighiales; Euphorbiaceae.
CACUCAUUUCUUCAAAGCCUUCCGCCAAUGUGUUCAUACUUUCAGGUCCAAGCUUCGCAGCCAACUUCUCCCCAUCAGCAUCAUCACCUAGAUAAAAGCCACUCUCCAAAUUACCAUCUCCUCUCUCCUCAUCCCGACGACCUCUUCCUCUUCCUCUACCCCUUCCCCUUCCUCCUCUGCCUCUCACCGCACCACGACCACCCCUCCCUCUAAAACCUCCUCCCAUUCCCCUUCCACCACCAACAUCACCAUCAUCACUUCUUGAUAAUAUCCCUACAGCCUUUUUUACUGCAUCCUCCCUACUCAACCUCUGGGGAGGUGGACUGCUCGCUCUCUCCCCUGAAUCUGCAACUUUCUGCUGCCGAGGCCGGAGAUGGCGAUUCUCUUCCUUAGGCUUCUCAGAGACAGAAGAAGCCGUUUGCAAGGGCUUCCCUCGGCCCGCACCAGUCAAAACUGAUAUUACACUAGAAGGGAGAUUUGAAUCAUCUCUUGGUUUUGGAGCAUUUGAAGAACUAGAAUUUGAAUCAGUUGUUUCUUCUUCCUUCGCAAAGAAAAUCGGUUUCCUCAGUGGCUGCUGCUGCUGUUGUUGCGGCUGAGGUGGUGGAGAAAACGGGCCGAUCCCACCUCGGCCACGGCCAGCAGGAGUAUUAGGGUUAUCAACGAAGGAGUGAAAUGAGGGAACAAUUGGGGACGAAGGUAAUGGUUUACCUCGGCCUCGUCCAUGUCCAGUUCCAGAUGGAGUAGCAGGAGUCGAUGAUUCCGGUUUGGAGUCUUCGGAUGCGGAUUUUCCCGGACUAAAUCCAAAGUUUGGGGAAUCGGAACCUCGUCCCCUGCCUCUACCACCUCCGCCGCCGCCGGAGAAAGUGGAAAAAGCGGAACCCGAUGAGGCGGUGAUGGGUCGGCCAAUAGAGCAGUGAGAAAGCUUGCUUAAGCUUCGUCUCAUUUCUUGUGAAGUAGUGUUAAUGAGAUCCCAAAGAGGAAUGGUGCUUCUUCGUCUCCAGCACGAGGG